UACGGAGGGGGCUAGCGUUGUUCGGAAUUACUGGGCGUAAAGCGCGCGUAGGCGGACUGGAAAGUUGGGGGUGAAAUCCCAGGGCUCAACCCUGGAACUGCCUUCAAAACUCCCAGUCUGGAGUUCGAGAGAGGUGAGUGGAAUUCCGAGUGUAGAGGUGAAAUUCGUAGAUAUUCGGAGGAACACCAGUGGCGAAGGCGGCUCACUGGCUCGAUACUGACGCUGAGGUGCGAAAGCGUGGGGAGCAAACAGG
RNAcentral lists this ribosomal RNA (253 nucleotides) under uncultured bacterium. RNAcentral's name for it is "partial 16S ribosomal RNA". It matches the Rfam family "Bacterial small subunit ribosomal RNA", at positions 524 to 776 of the family's 1533-position model. The record is from RNAcentral.